GCAACCUGAAGCUGGCCAGCAACCAGCGCGCGGUGUUCCUGAGCCUGCUCGGCAUCUCGUGGCUGUGGUUCGUCGGCGCGACCUUCCUGACCUCAUUCUUCGCCUUUGCUCGCAACGUGCUC
This 122-nucleotide non-coding RNA is filed under the name Ralstonia pseudosolanacearum GMI1000. RNAcentral's name for it is "Ralstonia solanacearum GMI1000 Burkholderia RNA 11". It matches the Rfam family "Burkholderia RNA 11". From Rfam's summary of the family: Co-purified with Hfq, expression confirmed by Northern blot. Lineage: Bacteria; Pseudomonadati; Pseudomonadota; Betaproteobacteria; Burkholderiales; Burkholderiaceae. The record is from Rfam by way of RNAcentral.